This 521-nucleotide ribosomal RNA is filed under the name Streptomyces sp. WAC 01420. Its description in RNAcentral is "bacterial SSU rRNA". It matches the Rfam family "Bacterial small subunit ribosomal RNA", at positions 13 to 521 of the family's 1533-position model. The record is from RNAcentral. Lineage: Bacteria; Bacillati; Actinomycetota; Actinomycetes; Kitasatosporales; Streptomycetaceae.
UUGAUCCUCGGCUCAGGAUGAACGCUAGCGGCAGGCUUAAUACAUGCAAGUCGAGGGGCAGCAGCUUUAUAGCAAUAUAGAGGCUGGCGAACCGGGCAAACGGGUAGCGGGAACACGUACACAACCUUCCUUUAAGAGGGGGAUAGCCCAUAGAAAUGUGGAUUAAUACCCCGUAACAUAUCGGUGUGGCAUCACACUGUUAUUAUAGUUUCGACGCUUGAAGAUGGGUGUGCGGCUGAUUAGGUAGUUGGCGGGGUAAAGGCCCACCAAGCCUUCGAUCAGUAGCUGAUGUGAGAGCAUGAUCAGCCACACGGGCACUGAGACACGGGCCCGACUCCUACGGGAGGCAGCAGUAAGGAAUAUUGGUCAAUGGACGCAAGUCUGAACCAGCCAUGCCGCGUGAAGGAUGAAGGUCCUCUGGAUUGUAAACUUCUUUUAUAGGGGGCGAAAAAGGGAAUUCUUUCUCACUUGACAGUACCCUAUGAAUAAGCACCGGCUAACUCCGUGCCAGCCGCCGCGGU